GAAAUGCGAUAAGUAAUGUGAAUUGCAUGCACCGUGAAUCAUCAAAUCUUUGAACGCACAUUGCACUGCCUGGAAUUCCGGGCAGUAUACCUGUUUGAGUAUCAGUAACACUCUACGUACCAGCAUUCUCUUAUUGGGAAUGCCCACGUAGGACUUGAGCUACCGUCUUCACCGGCGCUGCUUUAAAUCCAUUUGAGGUCUACGCUUAUAAAGGCAUUGCGACUGACAGAGUUAAUGGGUCUUCGGGCCUUGAUUUGUCUAGCUUGCGGUGUUCUAAAUUUGCUAGUCUUCAUUAAACCACCCAACAGUGGAGGACCUUGGUUCUCGCGACUGUGACUUUGAUCUCAAAUCAGGUAAGAUUACCCGCUGAACUUAA
RNAcentral lists this unclassified non-coding RNA (376 nucleotides) under uncultured fungus. RNAcentral describes it as "sequence contains ITS1". The stretch from base 1 to 104 matches the Rfam family "5.8S ribosomal RNA", at positions 50 to 154 of the family's 154-position model. The record is from RNAcentral. Lineage: Eukaryota; Fungi.